Molecule: microRNA, 22 nt
Filed under: Sarcophilus harrisii (Tasmanian devil)
Lineage: Eukaryota; Metazoa; Chordata; Mammalia; Dasyuromorphia; Dasyuridae
Also listed under: 2 other names
Description: Sha-Mir-12355_3p* (star (passenger))
Source: RNAcentral
GAGCUGGAAUGGACCUCAGAGG